RNAcentral lists this ribosomal RNA (329 nucleotides) under embryophyte environmental sample. RNAcentral's name for it is "eukaryotic LSU rRNA". The record is from RNAcentral. Lineage: Eukaryota; Viridiplantae; Streptophyta.
GCAAGUUGCGCCCGAAGCCUUUAGGCCGAGGGCAAGUCUGCGUGGGCGUCACGCACCGUUGCCCCCCAAACCCCCUCAGUCCUCCACGGAGGAUUGGCGAGGCGCGUGGGGGGCGUAAAGUGGCUUCCCGUCGGCUUUGUCCCGCGGUUGGCCUAAAAAUGAAUCCCUAGCCGCGGUGCGCGCGGCAUUCGGUGGUCAUCGAUCCCUUUCGUUACCCCGCCGCGCGCUCACGUGCCGCGAAGGAUGUCACACUAGUAAACCCGACGCCUCGCUUUGUGAAGAGCGGAGCUUACAACGCGACCCCAGGUCAGGCGGGGCUACCCGCUGAA